RNAcentral lists this ribosomal RNA (552 nucleotides) under uncultured bacterium. Its description in RNAcentral is "bacterial SSU rRNA". It matches the Rfam family "Bacterial small subunit ribosomal RNA", at positions 777 to 1327 of the family's 1533-position model. The record is from RNAcentral.
AAUAGAUACCCGGGUAGUCCACGCCGUAAACGAUGGGUGCUAAGUGUUGGGGGGUUUCCGCCCCUCAGUGCUGCAGCUAACGCAUUAAGCACUCCGCCUGGGGAGUACGGUCGCAAGACUGAAACUCAAAGGAAUUGACGGGGGCCCGCACAAGCGGUGGAGCAUGUGGUUUAAUUCGAAGCAACGCGAAGAACCUUACCAGGUCUUGACAUCCCGGUGACCACUAUAGAGACAUAGUUUCCCCUUCGGGGGCAACGGUGACAGGUGGUGCAUGGUUGUCGUCAGCUCGUGUCGUGAGAUGUUGGGUUAAGUCCCGCAACGAGCGCAACCCUUAUUCUUAGUUGCCAUCAUUCAGUUGGGCACUCUAAGGAGACUGCCGGUGAUAAACCGGAGGAAGGUGGGGAUGACGUCAAAUCAUCAUGCCCCUUAUGACCUGGGCUACACACGUGCUACAAUGGACGGUACAAACGGUUGCCAACCCGCGAGGGGGAGCUAAUCCGAUAAAACCGUUCUCAGUUCGGAUUGUAGGCUGCAACUCGCCUACAUGAAGCC